AUGAUGACGCCAUGUUAACAUUUUUAACAUGGAUUUUCAAUGCAUUUUAUUAAGCAACAAUAACUAAUAAACUAUAAGCCUAUCAGCGACUCGCGAGUGCCGACCAUAGAGUAAGAAUAUGUGCCGACUGAUGAGAACUGACUGGCGACUGCCGAUUGCCGAUUUUAGAGUUUCACAAAGUUCAUAGUUCAUUCUUCAUCCAUAAAUACAAUAUGUUUAUAUUUACCAUUUACUAAACGGUUCUGAAGUCGUUAUUCAUUUAUGCCUUACGUCAGUGUUUUGAUUUGCUUAUUCAACAUAUUAAGCUAAAUAUUUGGGCUAUUUAGUAUAAUAAUUAUAUUUUCUAAUCGUGAAUUUACAAUUCUUACUUUUGAUCCGCCGACCUGUGAAUGGUCUCCAGUAUGGGUUACAGCCGAAAUCCAAUAUCGUCAUCUAGAGAUCGUAGACGUGGACGGGAUAGACGAAGUAGAAGUCCGGUACGGCGACGCGGUGGUGGUGGUCGAGGAGGUAGAGGUGAUCCAGGCUCUAACUUACGUAAACCUCGAUGGGAAACAAAAAAGCUCGAACCAUUCAAAAAAGAUUUCUAUCUGCCGCACGAAGCUGUCCAGAAUAGAUCAAAAUCAGAAAUAGAAAAAUACAGAGAAGAGAAAGAAAUAACACUAGUUGGCGAAAAUAUUCCAAAACCAAUAUUUAAGUUUGAUGAAAGUGGCUUUCCUGAAAUCAUAAUCAAAGAAUUAAAGAAACAAGGUUUUGUUGAGCCUACUGCUAUUCAAGCACAAGGAUGGCCAAUAGCUUUGUCUGGUAAUAAUUUAGUUGGUAUUGCGUCCACUGGUUCUGGAAAAACAUUAUCGUAUAUUGUUCCUGCUUUAAUACAUAUUUCACAUCAACGAAAAUUAUCACGUGGUGAUGGACCUAUUGUAUUAGUAUUGUCUCCAACUCGAGAAUUAGCCCAACAAAUACAAACUGUUUGUGACGAUUUUGGUGAUGCAUUUGGAGUUAGUAGUACAUGCUUAUUUGGCGGUGCACCAAAAGGUGGUCAGGCAUCUGACUUGAGUCGUGGAGUUGAAUUAGUAAUUGCUACACCAGGCCGUUUAUUAGAUUUUCUUGAAAGUGAACGUACAAAUAUGUGUCGAUGCACAUACCUAGUUUUAGAUGAAGCUGAUAGAAUGUUGGAUAUGGGGUUUGAACCACAAAUUCGAAAAAUCAUUGAUCAAAUAAGACCAGAUAGACAAGUAUUAAUGUGGUCAGCAACAUGGCCCAAAGAAGUAAAAAAUUUGGCUGAAGAAUUUUUAGAUGAAUAUAUACAAAUAAAUAUUGGUUCCUUAACAUUAGCAGCUAACCAUAAUAUCCAACAAAUUGUUGAAGUCUGUCAGGAAUAUGACAAAGAAACAAAGUUAAUAUCGCUUUUAAAGAAAAUAAUGGAUGAAGAUGAAAAUAAAACUAUUGUUUUCAUUGAAACUAAGCGACGGGUGGAUGAAAUUACAAGAAAGAUUAAAAGACAUGGGUAUUCAGCUGUAUGUAUUCAUGGUGAUAAAUCACAAUAUGAGAGAGACAAUGUUUUGAAAGAUUUCAGAGAUAGUCGUUACCCUAUAUUGGUCGCUACAGAUGUUGCCGCUCGUGGUCUUGAGGCACACACAAGCUGUACAAUGCGUACUAAAUUUAAAAAAUACUAUAAAAAUGUAUCAAUGUUGUCGCAUUGUCGACGCUGUGCCUCAAAAAUGGACAUGCAUUAAUAAUUGCGUGUGGGUCUGUGUGUUCGUGGCGGCUCUGGCUACACAAGUAGUUUGAGUGGUCGCGCACCGGCGGCAACGUGGGGCUAGUCAUUCCACACUGCUGUCCCCCGCCUCGACCUGUCUGUGUAUGUUGUGACGUGUCCAACGUCAAUCGUUGUCCCGUGUGGGGCGCUUAAACACGUACACCGGAUGUCGAUGAUGUGGAAGAUGUGAAGUUUGUAAUCAAUUUUGACUACCCAAAUAAUUCUGAAGACUAUGUACAUCGUAUUGGUCGUACCGGUCGAUCUCACAAGACGGGUACAGCUUACACAUUCUUUACACAGUCAAAUGCCAAACAAGC
RNAcentral lists this unclassified non-coding RNA (2073 nucleotides) under Acyrthosiphon pisum (pea aphid). RNAcentral's name for it is "probable ATP-dependent RNA helicase DDX5, transcript variant X4". The record is from RNAcentral. Lineage: Eukaryota; Metazoa; Arthropoda; Insecta; Hemiptera; Aphididae.